UACGUAGGGUCCGAGCGUUGUCCGGAAUUACUGGGCGUAAAGGGCGCGUAGGCGGCGUGUCAAGUCAGGCGUGAAAGCCCCGGGCUCAACCUGGGAACCGCGCUUGAGACUGGCAUGCUCGAGUUCGGGAGAGGAUGGUGGAAUUCCCAGUGUAGAGGUGAAAUUCGUAGAUAUUGGGAAGAACACCGAUGGCGAAGGCAGCCAUCUGGACCGACACUGACGCUGAGGCGCGAAAGCGUGGGGAGCAAACAGG
RNAcentral lists this ribosomal RNA (253 nucleotides) under uncultured bacterium. RNAcentral's name for it is "partial 16S ribosomal RNA". It matches the Rfam family "Bacterial small subunit ribosomal RNA", at positions 524 to 776 of the family's 1533-position model. The record is from RNAcentral.